CCUACGGGAGGCAGCAGUGAGGAAUAUUGGUCAAUGGGCGUAAGCCUGAACCAGCCAAGUCGCGUGAGGGAUGAAGGUUCUAUGGAUUGUAAACCUCUUUUAUAAGGGAAUAAAGUGUGGGACGUGUCCUAUUUUGUAUGUACCUUAUGAAUAAGGAUCGGCUAACUCCGUGCCAGCAGCCGCGGUAAUACGGAGGAUGCGAGCGUUAUCCGGAUUUAUUGGGUUUAAAGGGUGCGCAGGCGGAGGUGCAAGUCAGCGGUCAAAUUGCGGGGCUCAACCCCGUACUGCCGUUGAAACUGCAGCCCUUGAGUGCGCGAGAAGUAUGCGGAAUGCGUGGUGUAGCGGUGAAAUGCAUAGAUAUCACGCAGAACUCCGAUUGCGAAGGCAGCAUACCGGCGCGCAACUGACGCUCAUGCACGAAAGCGUGGGUAUCGAACAGGAUUAGAUACCCCAGUAGUC
This 459-nucleotide ribosomal RNA is filed under the name uncultured bacterium. RNAcentral's name for it is "partial 16S ribosomal RNA". It matches the Rfam family "Bacterial small subunit ribosomal RNA", at positions 338 to 795 of the family's 1533-position model. The record is from RNAcentral.